UAAUAUGAAACAUUUAUAUGUAAUUUAAUUUCGACUUAAAUUAAUGGAACUUAAAUAUAUCCCAUAUUUU
RNAcentral lists this transfer RNA (70 nucleotides) under Pseudoneureclipsis sibuyana. Its description in RNAcentral is "tRNA-Arg". The record is from RNAcentral. Lineage: Eukaryota; Metazoa; Arthropoda; Insecta; Trichoptera; Polycentropodidae.